UAGGGAAUCUUCGGCAAUGGACGAAAGUCUGACCGAGCAACGCCGCGUGAGUGAAGAAGGUUUUCGGAUCGUAAAACUCUGUUGUUAGAGAAGAACAAGGACGUUAGUAACUGAACGUCCCCUGACGGUAUCUAACCAGAAAGCCACGGCUAACUACGUGCCAGCAGCCGCGGUAAUACGUAGGUGGCAAGCGUUGUCCGGAUUUAUUGGGCGUAAAGCGAGCGCAGGCGGUUUCUUAAGUCUGAUGUGAAAGCCCCCGGCUCAACCGGGGAGGGUCAUUGGAAACUGGGAGACUUGAGUGCAGAAGAGGAGAGUGGAAUUCCAUGUGUAGCGGUGAAAUGCGUAGAUAUAUGGAGGAACACCAGUGGCGAAGGCGGCUCUCUGGUCUGUAACUGACGCUGAGGCUCGAAAGUGUGGGGAGCAAACAGG
Molecule: ribosomal RNA, 429 nt
Filed under: Gemmatimonadota bacterium
Lineage: Bacteria; Pseudomonadati; Gemmatimonadota
Description: Gemmatimonadetes bacterium partial 16S ribosomal RNA
Rfam family: Bacterial small subunit ribosomal RNA
Source: RNAcentral